AACGUACGUUGGCGGCACGCCUAACACAUGCAAGUCGAACGAAGUAGCAAUACUUAGUGGCAGACGGGUGAGUAACAUGUAGGUAUCUGCCCUUUGGCCUGGAAUAACACGAGGAAACUUGUGCUAAUACCGGAUAAGUCUUUACGGAGAAAGCUUUAUGCACCAUUGGAUGAGCCUGCACUUGAUUAGUUUGUUGGUGGGGUAAUGGCCUACCAAGACUGUGAUCAAUAGCUGAUUUGAGAGGAUGAUCAGCCACAUUGGGACUGAGACACGGCCCAAACUCCUACGGGAGGCAGCAGUGGGGAAUCUUGCACAAUGGAGGAAACUCUGAUGCAGCGAUGCCGCGUGAGUGAAGAAGGCCCUUGGGUUGUAAAGCUCUUUCGUCGGGGAAGAAAAUGACUGUACCCGAAUAAGAAGGUCCGGCUAACUUCGUGCCAGCAGCCGCGGUAAUACGAAGGGACCUAGCGUAGUUCGGAAUUACUGGGCUUAAAGAGUUCGUAGGUGGUUGAAAAAGUUAGUGGUGAAAUCCCAGAGCUUAACUCUGGAACUGCCAUUAAAACUUUUCAGCUAGAGUAUGAUAGAGGAAAGCAGAAUUUCUAGUGUAGAGGUGAAAUUCGUAGAUAUUAGAAAGAAUACCAAUUGCGAAGGCAGCUUUCUGGAUCAUUACUGACACUGAGAACGA
RNAcentral lists this ribosomal RNA (682 nucleotides) under bacterium IMCC4808. RNAcentral's name for it is "bacterial SSU rRNA". It matches the Rfam family "Bacterial small subunit ribosomal RNA", at positions 28 to 756 of the family's 1533-position model. The record is from RNAcentral.